RNAcentral lists this ribosomal RNA (253 nucleotides) under uncultured bacterium. RNAcentral's name for it is "partial 16S ribosomal RNA". It matches the Rfam family "Bacterial small subunit ribosomal RNA", at positions 524 to 776 of the family's 1533-position model. The record is from RNAcentral.
UACGUAGGGUGCAAGCGUUAAUCGGAAUUACUGGGCGUAAAGCGUGCGCAGGCGGCUUUGCAAGACAGAUGUGAAAUCCCCGGGCUCAACCUGGGAACUGCAUUUGUGACUGCAUGGCUCGAGUGCGGCAGAGGGGGAUGGAAUUCCGCGUGUAGCAGUGAAAUGCGUAGAUAUGCGGAGGAACACCGAUGGCGAAGGCAAUCCCCUGGGCCUGCACUGACGCUCAUGCACGAAAGCGUGGGGAGCAAACAGG